This is a long non-coding RNA of Bactrocera latifrons, 752 nucleotides long. RefSeq lists it as uncharacterized. The transcript has 3 exons. Lineage: Eukaryota; Metazoa; Arthropoda; Insecta; Diptera; Tephritidae. The record is from RefSeq and is a predicted model, not a curated record.
ACAGGAUGAAGUAUUGACUCCAUCAGUUUUUUUAAACACGUAAAUAUGAAUUUUGUCUCAUUUAUUUUGCCUGAAAGAAUUCCCCACAGAUCCUCGAUCGAAUUAAAAUCUGGACCUACUACAUAAGUGGCCUACAACGCCUUUGCCUACUUAGCUACAUGGAUCGGUGCAUUGGAAAUUUCAUUCAUCACCAUGCAAAUGACAAGCAAAAUCAGGGAGUUCGCUCCUCAACAGCGUAAAUUUCUUCUUUAAUUUUGCCUGCUUCAAAGUAUAUUUGGGACUUUCGUUUUGAUGAAAAUUCUACUCAUACCAUUUGUGAUUCACCACAAUGGAGGCGUUUAUGGCAUACCUCUCAUAGGCAUAUGAAAUCUCUUCAAUAUUUAUGAAGACCACCGGUUUGCAUUUUUAUGACGUUGCUUAAGGCGUCGCCUGGCACUCCAUUUUCAUAUUCAAGGUACAUAUUUGACGUGAGCAUGCAGCAAGUCAAGACAGAGCUAGAGAAACUUCUGCCCAAGCUGAUGCUCAGUGUCAGGAAAAUGGGAUUCGCACAGCUUCUCAUCGUGCAUUAGAGACACCUGAAUAGUCAGCUUUUCGGCGUCUAGAGAACGUAAUAUGUAUGGUCACUCAGCGGUCCACUCAAACACCUGAUGAAGCUAUUCCGCAACACAAAAAAUAUAGGAAAGAGAUUUGUUGCUUCGUUAAGGAGCCCUUAUAAAACAUUUAAAACAAUGAAAAUUAAAUUAAUUUGUGAA